AACUUAAGCCCCAGUAAACGGCGGCCGUAACUAUAACGGUCCUAAGGUAGCGAAAUUCCUUGUCGGGUAAGUUCCGACCCGCACGAAAGGCGUAACGAUUUGGGCACUGUCUCAACAACAGACUCGGUGAAAUUGUAAUUCCGGUGAAGAUGCCGGAUACCUGCGACAGGACGGAAAGACCCCAUGGAGCUUUACUGUAGCUUGACAUUGGGUCUUGGUACUACAUGUACAGGAUAGGUGGGAGGCUUUGAAACCAGGACGCCAGUUUUGGCGGAGCCAUCCUUGGGAUACCACCCUUGUAGUACUGGGACUCUAACCAUAGGCCAUGAAUCUGGUCUUGGGACACUGUCAGGUGGGCAGUUUGACUGGGGCGGUCGCCUCCCAAAAGGUAACGGAGGCGCUCAAAGGUUCUCUCAGUACGGUCGGAAAUCGUACGUAGAGUGUAAAGGCAAAAGAGAGCUUGAUUGCAAGACAUACAGGUCGAGCAAGGAUGAAAAUCGGACUUAGUGAUCCGGUGGUUCUGCGUGGAAGGGCCAUCGCUCAACGGAUAAAAGCUACCCUGGGGAUAACAGGCUUAUCUCCCCCAAGAGUCCACAUCGACGGGGAGGUUUGGCACCUCGAUGUCGGCUCAUCACAUCCUGGGGCUGUAGUAGGUCCCAAGGGUUGGGCUGUUCGCCCAUUAAAGUGGUACGCGAGCUGGGUUCAGAACGUCGUGAGACAGUUCGGUCCCUAUCCGUCGCAGGCGUAGGAAAUUUGAGAAGACCUGUCCUUAGUACGAGAGGACCGGGAUGGACG
Molecule: ribosomal RNA, 795 nt
Filed under: Clostridioides difficile
Lineage: Bacteria; Bacillati; Bacillota; Clostridia; Peptostreptococcales; Peptostreptococcaceae
Description: partial 23S ribosomal RNA
Rfam family: Bacterial large subunit ribosomal RNA
Source: RNAcentral